RNAcentral lists this ribosomal RNA (178 nucleotides) under Methylobacterium radiotolerans. RNAcentral's name for it is "partial 23S ribosomal RNA". It matches the Rfam family "Bacterial large subunit ribosomal RNA", at positions 1 to 159 of the family's 2925-position model. Lineage: Bacteria; Pseudomonadati; Pseudomonadota; Alphaproteobacteria; Hyphomicrobiales; Methylobacteriaceae. The record is from RNAcentral.
GAGCGAUCAAGUGCCUUAAGAGCAUUCGGUGGAUGCCUUGGCGCUGAGAGGCGAUGAAGGACGUGGUACGCUGCGAUAAGCCUUGGGGAGCUGCGAACGAGCUUUGAUCCAGGGAUUUCCGAAUGGGGAAACCCACCUUCGACCUUCCGUAUGGCGGCUGCAUGUGGUCUCGACCCCC